Molecule: ribosomal RNA, 525 nt
Filed under: uncultured bacterium
Lineage: Bacteria
Description: bacterial SSU rRNA
Rfam family: Bacterial small subunit ribosomal RNA
Source: RNAcentral
AAUAGAUACCCUGGUAGUCCACGCUGUAAACGUUGGACACUAGGUGUGGCGGUCUGAUCAACGACUGCCGUGCCGAAGCUAACGCAUUAAGUGUCCCGCCUGGGGAGUACGGCCGCAAGGCUAAAACUCAAAGGAAUUGACGGGUCCCCGCACAAGCGGCGGAGCAUGCGGCUUAAUUCGAUGCAACCCGAAGAACCUUACCUGGGUUUGACAUCAUGGGAAAAGCCGUGGAAACACGGUGUCCGUAAGGGCCCAUGACAGGUGGUGCAUGGCUGUCGUCAGCUCGUGUCGUGAGAUGUUGGGUUGAGUCCCGCAACGAGCGCAACCCUUGUCCUAUGUUGCCAGCGGUUCGGCCGGGGACUCAUAGGAGACUGCCGGGGAUAACUCGGAGGAAGGUGAGGACGAUGUCAAGUCAUCAUGCCCCUUAUAUCCAGGGCUGCGCGCAUGCUACAAUGGUCGGUACAACGGGCAGCGAUCCUGCGAAGGUGAGCGAAUCCCGACAAAACCGGCCUCAGUUCGGAUUGG